RNAcentral lists this non-coding RNA (86 nucleotides) under Alkalithermobacter paradoxus. RNAcentral's name for it is "Clostridium thermoalcaliphilum c-di-GMP sequence". It matches the Rfam family "c-di-GMP-I riboswitch aptamer". From Rfam's summary of the family: GEMM was predicted in a large-scale screen for bacterial structured RNA regulatory elements. RNAcentral also lists the same sequence under 1 other name. Lineage: Bacteria; Bacillati; Bacillota; Clostridia; Peptostreptococcales; Tepidibacteraceae. The record is from Rfam by way of RNAcentral.
UCAAUGAAAAGGCAAACUUAUCGAAAGAUAAGGACGCAAAGCCAUGUGUCUAAAGAAUUUAAUUCUAUGAUCGACAGGCUGCCAUA